Long non-coding RNA from Eubalaena glacialis (North Atlantic right whale), 569 nucleotides. RefSeq lists it as uncharacterized. The transcript has 3 exons. The record is from RefSeq and is a predicted model, not a curated record. NCBI's taxonomy places the organism in Eukaryota, Metazoa, Chordata, Mammalia, Artiodactyla, Balaenidae.
AAGAGCCCUUUCAGGAGACAGUUGUCCCGUCAGGUUAUCUAGUGCCCCAGGCGGGAGCGCCUGCUCUGGGGAUCUGGGUCACGCCCCUUUCUUCUUUCAGCCUUUCGGCCAAAUGAAGUAGCCCAGCGGCUCCUGACUGUCUUUUCUUUACUUUUCUGCCUCCUCUCAGAAAAUCAACAAAGACGGCAUUGAAGACCUUAAUGUAAAUCGUCUGUAGUGAGUUGAAGAAACAGGGAUGAAGUGGACGCAGCAUGUGAAGACAAUUCUUUCAAGAAGUUUGGCUGUAAAGGAAAAGAGAAAGGGGACAUGGGUUCAAGCCCUGGUCCGGGAAGAUUCCACACGCCGCGGAGCAACUAAGCCCGUGCACCACAACUACUAAGCCUACGCUCUACAGCCCACGAGCCACAACUACUGAGCCCGCGUGCCACAACUACUGAAGCCCACACGCCUAGAGUCCAUGCUCCACAACAAGAGAAGCCACAGCAACGAGAAGCCCGCGCACCACAAUGAAGAGUAGCCCCCGCUGGCCGCAACUAGAGAAAGCCCGUGUGCAGCAACGAAGACCCAAC